CCUACGGGUGGCAGCAGUGGGGAAUUUUGGACAAUGGGCGCAAGCCUGAUCCAGCUAUUCCGCGUGUGGGAAGACGGCCUUCGGGUUGUAAACCACUUUUGUAGAGAACGAAAAGUCUAUAGAUAAUACCGUUAGACGUUGACGGUACUCUAAGAAUAAGCACCGGCUAACUACGUGCCAGCAGCCGCGGUAAUACGUAGGGUGCGAGCGUUAAUCGGAAUUACUGGGCGUAAAGGGAGCGCAGGGGGUUUUGCAAGUUAGAUGUGAAAGCCCCGGGCUUAACCUGGGAAAGGCAUACAUGACUGGAAGGCUUGAGUGCGUCAGAGGGGGGUGGAAUUCCAGGUGUAGCGGUGAAAUGCGUAGAUAUCUGGAAGAACACCGAUGGCGAAGGCAGCCCCCUGGGACGCAACUGACGCUCAUGCACGAAAGCGUGGGGAGCAAACAGGAUUAGAUACCCGAGUAGUC
This 465-nucleotide ribosomal RNA is filed under the name uncultured bacterium. Its description in RNAcentral is "partial 16S ribosomal RNA". It matches the Rfam family "Bacterial small subunit ribosomal RNA", at positions 338 to 795 of the family's 1533-position model. The record is from RNAcentral.